UACGGAGGGCGCGAGCGUUAAUCGGAAUUACUGGGCGUAAAGCGCGCGUAGGCUGUUGUGUAAGUUGGGGGUGAAAUCCCACGGCUCAACCGUGGAACAGCCCUUGAUACUGCGCGACUUGAAUCCGGGAGAGGGUGGCGGAAUUCCAGGUGUAGGAGUGAAAUCCGUAGAUAUCUGGAGGAACAUCAGUGGCGAAGGCGGCCGCCUGGCCUGUUGCUGACGCUGAGGCACGAAAGCGUGGGGAGCAAAUAGG
This 253-nucleotide ribosomal RNA is filed under the name uncultured Desulfovibrio sp. RNAcentral describes it as "partial 16S ribosomal RNA". It matches the Rfam family "Bacterial small subunit ribosomal RNA", at positions 524 to 776 of the family's 1533-position model. Lineage: Bacteria; Pseudomonadati; Thermodesulfobacteriota; Desulfovibrionia; Desulfovibrionales; Desulfovibrionaceae. The record is from RNAcentral.